RNAcentral lists this ribosomal RNA (492 nucleotides) under uncultured bacterium. Its description in RNAcentral is "partial 16S ribosomal RNA". It matches the Rfam family "Bacterial small subunit ribosomal RNA", at positions 29 to 507 of the family's 1533-position model. The record is from RNAcentral.
AGUGAACGCUGGCGGUAGGCCUAACACAUGCAAGUCGAACGGCAGCACAGUAAGAGCUUGCUCUUACGGGUGGCGAGUGGCGGACGGGUGAGGAAUACAUCGGAAUCUACUUUUUCGUGGGGGAUAACGUAGGGAAACUUACGCUAAUACCGCGUACGACCUACGGGUGAAAGCAGGGGAUCUUCGGACCUUGCGCGAUUGAAUGAGCCGAUGUCGGAUUAGCGAGUUGGCGGGGUAAAGGCCCACCAAGGCGACGAUCCGUAGCUGGUCUGAGAGGAUGAUCAGCCACACUGGAACUGAGACACGGUCCAGACUCCUACGGGAGGCAGCAGUGGGGAAUAUUGGACAAUGGGCGCAAGCCUGAUCCAGCCAUACCGCGUGGGUGAAGAAGGCCUUCGGGUUGUAAAGCCCUUUUGUUGGGAAAGAAAAGCAGCAGGUUAAUACCCCGCUGUUCUGACGGUACCCAAAGAAUAAGCACCGGCUAACUUCGUG